Molecule: transfer RNA, 71 nt
Filed under: Loxodonta africana (African savanna elephant)
Lineage: Eukaryota; Metazoa; Chordata; Mammalia; Proboscidea; Elephantidae
Rfam family: tRNA
About the family: Transfer RNA (tRNA) molecules are approximately 80 nucleotides in length. Their secondary structure includes four short double-helical elements and three loops (D, anti-codon, and T loops).
Source: Rfam by way of RNAcentral
GCAGUAGUGAUUCAGCGGUAGGACUCCUGUUUGCCACGCAGGAGACUUGGGUUCCAUUCCCAGACGAUGCA